This 207-nucleotide ribosomal RNA is filed under the name uncultured bacterium. Its description in RNAcentral is "partial 16S ribosomal RNA". It matches the Rfam family "Bacterial small subunit ribosomal RNA", at positions 568 to 774 of the family's 1533-position model. The record is from RNAcentral.
CGCGUAGGCGGCUUUAUAAGUCUGGAGUGAAAGUCCUCUUUUCAAGGGAGGAAUUGCUUUGGAAACUAUAGAGCUUGAGUGCAGGAGAGGUUAUCGGAAUUCCCGGUGUAGCGGUGAAAUGCGUAGAUAUCGGGAGGAACAUCGGUGGCGAAGGCGACCUACUGGGCACCAACUGACGCUGAGGCUCGAAAGCAUGGGUAGCAAACA